UACAGAGGUCUCAAGCGUUGUUCGGAUUCAUUGGGCGUAAAGAGCUCGUAGGCGGUCUGUCGCGUCGGCUGUGAAAACUCGGGGCUCAACCCCGAGCCUGCAGUCGAUACGGGCAGACUAGAGUGCUGUAGGGGAGACUGGAAUUCCUGGUGUAGCGGUGAAAUGCGCAGAUAUCAGGAGGAACACCGGUGGCGAAGGCGGGUCUCUGGGCAGUAACUGACGCUGAGGAGCGAAAGCGUGGGGAGCGAACAGG
This 253-nucleotide ribosomal RNA is filed under the name uncultured bacterium. Its description in RNAcentral is "partial 16S ribosomal RNA". It matches the Rfam family "Bacterial small subunit ribosomal RNA", at positions 524 to 776 of the family's 1533-position model. The record is from RNAcentral.